ACACUCCUGCGGGAGGCAGCAGUGGGGAAUAUUGCACAAUGGGCGCAAGCCUGAUGCAGCCAUGCCGCGUGUAUGAAGAAGGCCUUCGGGUUGUAAAGUACUUUCAGCGGGGAGGAAGGCGAUAAGGUUAAUAACCUUGUCGAUUGACGUUACCCGCAGAAGAAGCACCGGCUAACUCCGUGCCAGCAGCCGCGGUAAUACGGAGGGUGCAAGCGUUAAUCGGAAUUACUGGGCGUAAAGCGCACGCAGGCGGUCUGUCAAGUCGGAUGUGAAAUCCCCGGGCUCAACCUGGGAACUGCAUUCGAAACUGGCAGGCUAGAGUCUUGUAGAGGGGGGUAGAAUUCCAGGUGUAGCGGUGAAAUGCGUAGAGAUCUGGAGGAAUACCGGUGGCGAAGGCGGCCCCCUGGACAAAGACUGACGCUCAGGUGCGAAAGCGUGGGGAGCAAACAGGAUUAGAAACCCCUGUAGUCCCAUG
Molecule: ribosomal RNA, 475 nt
Filed under: uncultured organism
Description: partial 16S ribosomal RNA
Rfam family: Bacterial small subunit ribosomal RNA
Source: RNAcentral